This 1006-nucleotide ribosomal RNA is filed under the name Salinivibrio proteolyticus. Its description in RNAcentral is "bacterial SSU rRNA". It matches the Rfam family "Bacterial small subunit ribosomal RNA", at positions 8 to 991 of the family's 1533-position model. Lineage: Bacteria; Pseudomonadati; Pseudomonadota; Gammaproteobacteria; Vibrionales; Vibrionaceae. The record is from RNAcentral.
AGAGUUUGAUCAUGGCUCAGAUUGAACGCUGGCGGCAGGCCUAACACAUGCAAGUCGAGCGGAAACGGCAGUAUUGAAGCUUCGGUGGAUUUACUGGACGUCGAGCGGCGGACGGGUGAGUAACGGCUGGGAACCUGCCCUGACGAGGGGGAUAACCGUUGGAAACGACGGCUAAUACCGCAUAAUGUCUACGGACCAAAGGUGGCCUCUACAUGUAAGCUAUCGCGUUGGGAUGGGCCCAGUUAGGAUUAGCUAGUUGGUAAGGUAACGGCUUACCAAGGCGACGAUCCUUAGCUGGUUUGAGAGGAUGAUCAGCCACACUGGGACUGAGACACGGCCCAGACUCCUACGGGAGGCAGCAGUGGGGAAUAUUGCACAAUGGGGGAGACCCUGAUGCAGCCAUGCCGCGUGUGUGAAGAAGGCCUUCGGGUUGUAAAGCACUUUCAGCAGUGAGGAAGGUAGUGUACUUAAUACGUGCAUUGCUUGACGUUAGCUGCAGAAGAAGCACCGGCUAACUCCGUGCCAGCAGCCGCGGUAAUACGGAGGGUGCGAGCGUUAAUCGGAAUUACUGGGCGUAAAGCGCAUGCAGGCGGUUUGUUAAGUCAGAUGUGAAAGCCCGGGGCUCAACCUCGGAACCGCAUUUGAAACUGGCAGGCUAGAGUCUUGUAGAGGGGGGUAGAAUUUCAGGUGUAGCGGUGAAAUGCGUAGAGAUCUGAAGGAAUACCAGUGGCGAAGGCGGCCCCCUGGACAAAGACUGACGCUCAGAUGCGAAAGCGUGGGUAGCAAACAGGAUUAGAUACCCUGGUAGUCCACGCCGUAAACGAUGUCUACUUGGAGGCUGAGGUUUAAGACUUUGGCUUUCGGAGCUAACGCAUUAAGUAGACCGCCUGGGGAGUACGGCCGCAAGGUUAAAACUCAAAUGAAUUGACGGGGGCCCGCACAAGCGGUGGAGCAUGUGGUUUAAUUCGAUGCAACGCGAAGAACCUUACCUACUCUUGACAUCCAG